GAUGAACGCUGGCGGCGUGCCUAAUACAUGCAAGUCGAGCGAACAGACGAGGAGCUUGCUCCUCUGACGUUAGCGGCGGACGGGUGAGUAACACGUGGAUAACCUACCUAUAAGACUGGGAUAACUUCGUGAAACCGGAGCUAAUACCGGAUAAUAUAUUGAACCGCAUGGUUCAAUAGUGAAAGACGGCUUUGCUGUCACUUAUAGAUGGAUCCGCGCCGCAUUAGCUAGUUGGUAAGGUAACGGCUUACCAAGGCAACGAUGCGUAGCCGACCUGAGAGGGUGAUCGGCCACACUGGAACUGAGACACGGUCCAGACUCCUACGGGAGGCAGCAGUAGGGAAUCUUCCGCAAUGGGCGAAAGCUUGACGGAGCAACGCCGCGUGAGUGAUGAAGGUCUUCGGAUCGUAAAACUCUGUUAUUAGGGAAGAACAAAUGUGUAAGUAACUAUGCACGUCUUGACGGUACCUAAUCAGAAAGCCACGGCUAACUACGUG
RNAcentral lists this ribosomal RNA (497 nucleotides) under uncultured bacterium. RNAcentral's name for it is "partial 16S ribosomal RNA". It matches the Rfam family "Bacterial small subunit ribosomal RNA", at positions 28 to 507 of the family's 1533-position model. The record is from RNAcentral.